AUUGAACGCUGGUGGCAUGCCUUACACAUGCAAGUCGAACGGCAGCACGGGUGCCUGCACCUGGUGGCGAGUGGCGAACGGGUGAGUAAUACAUCGGAACGUACCUUAUCGUGGGGGAUAACGCAGCGAAAGUUGCGCUAAUACCGCAUACGCCCUGAGGGGGAAAGCGGGGGACCGUAAGGCCUCGCGCGAUUAGAGCGGCAGAUGUCCGAUUAGCUUGUUGGUGAGGUAAAAGUUCACCAAGGCGAUGAUCAGUAGCUGGUCUGAGAGGACGAUCAGCCACACUGGGACUGAGACACGGCCCAGACUCCUACGGGAGGCAGCAGUGGGGAAUUUUGGACAAUGGGCGAAAGCCUGAUCCAGCCAUGCCGCGUGCAGGAUGAAGGCCCUCGGGUUGUAAACUGCUUUUGUACGGAACGAAAAGGACUGCCCUAAUACGGUGGUCCCAUGACGGUACCGUAAGAAUAAGCACCGGCUAACUACGUGCCAGCAGCCGCAGUAA
This 502-nucleotide ribosomal RNA is filed under the name uncultured bacterium. RNAcentral describes it as "partial 16S ribosomal RNA". It matches the Rfam family "Bacterial small subunit ribosomal RNA", at positions 30 to 523 of the family's 1533-position model. The record is from RNAcentral.